Molecule: ribosomal RNA, 424 nt
Filed under: uncultured prokaryote
Description: bacterial SSU rRNA
Rfam family: Bacterial small subunit ribosomal RNA
Source: RNAcentral
UGGGGAAUCUUGGACCAUGGGUGAAAGCCUGAUCCAGCGACGCCGCGUGGGUGACGAAGGCCUUCGGGUUGUAAAGCCCUUUCGCCGGGGACGAUGAUGACGGUACCCGGAGAAGAAGCACCGGCUAACUCCGUGCCAGCAGCCGCGGUAAGACGGAGGGUGCUAGCGUUGUUCGGAAUCACUGGGCGUAAAGGGCGCGUAGGCGGCCCUGGUCGUCGGUUGUGAAAGCCCGGGGCUCAACCCCGGAACGGCAACCGAGACGCCAGGGCUGGAGCCCGGAAGAGGAGGGUGGAAUACCCAGUGUAGAGGUGAAAUUCGUAGAUAUUGGGUGGAACUCCGGUGGCGAAAGCGGCUCUCUGGUCCGGACCUGACGCUGAGGCGCGAAAGCGUGGGGAGCAAACAGGAUUAGAUACCCGUGUAGUCC